CGCUCAACAUCGAUGCGUAAGAUCAUGAGGGAAGAAUUCCCCAAUGUUCAGCAUGAGUUUGACAUCUGGCAUACAGCGAAAGGUUUGAGGAAGAAGAUACAGAGGAAAGGAGCAAUUAAAGGGAACGAAAUUCUUGCUGCAUGGAGCAGGUCAAUCAUAAACCACCUGUGGUUUACCUGUGCCACAAGCAAGGG
Molecule: long non-coding RNA, 194 nt
Organism: Gadus morhua (Atlantic cod)
Lineage: Eukaryota; Metazoa; Chordata; Actinopteri; Gadiformes; Gadidae
Exons: 3
Source: RefSeq, a predicted model, not a curated record